Molecule: long non-coding RNA, 857 nt
Filed under: Callithrix jacchus (white-tufted-ear marmoset)
Lineage: Eukaryota; Metazoa; Chordata; Mammalia; Primates; Cebidae
Description: lncRNA (ENSCJAG00000070036.1)
Source: RNAcentral
UUCACUUUGAACUCAACCUGUCUAUGAAUGAAUGACCAGAUAGAUUUGAUGCUUUCUUAACUUACCAUUUAUUCUUUCCCUGUGAUACCAACUCUUUGAGUAGAAAUUUAUGCAAACAAGGCGGCCAACUAGAAGCAGCUGCAUUUGGAGUUUCCUGUUGAAAAACAAACAAACAGAAAUCCAGGAUAAGCAGAUGAAUCCUCCACCAGCAAUCAAGGUAUCCAGGUUCUCUCAUCAAAAUUGGUUAGAAGGCUGGCAUGACACACAGAGAGAAGGAAGAGCAGUGUGGUGCAGCAGCACACCUGAGAGCCACACUGGGAAAAAGAACCUCCAGCCCCCAAGCCAAGGGAGGUGAUCUCCCAGUGGAAUGUGAACUAUAAGACAACCUAGAGGAGGGUUGUGCUGCUACACGGAAGAAACCUGGCACCCUGAGUCACUCUGUGAAAUGCUGCUUACUGAUCAGCAACACACGUGGAUAUCUUAUACAAGUAAGAGAGAAACUGUGUAGUGUUAAGAUGACUCAAAUGUAUAGAUUGCUAUUUUACAGCCACUGUUGCCCUAACUAAUCAAACAACUCUUCUAGUUCAACAGUGCUAGGAGCAAGGUGAGUCCUAAAUUGAGAAUAGGUGGAAUAAGCUAAAAUCGACAUAGUGAGCGCUCAAUUGAAACAUUUUUAAAAAGCAUGUCCUUGCUUUUGUGAAUAGUUCCACUAUGAAAAUAUGAGCACAAGUGUCGUUUUGGUAGAACAAUGUAUUUCCCUUUGGAUAUAUAUCUAGUAAUGAGAUUGCUGGGCUGAAUGUUAGUUCUGUUUUGAGAAAUCUCCAACUUGCUGUCUACAGUGGCUUUUGUCUUUUAAA